RNAcentral lists this ribosomal RNA (1059 nucleotides) under Streptosporangium saharense. RNAcentral describes it as "Bacterial large subunit ribosomal RNA". It matches the Rfam family "Bacterial large subunit ribosomal RNA", at positions 583 to 1519 of the family's 2925-position model. Lineage: Bacteria; Bacillati; Actinomycetota; Actinomycetes; Streptosporangiales; Streptosporangiaceae. The record is from Rfam by way of RNAcentral.
UGUCUGUGAUGUGACUGCGUGCCUUUUGAAGAAUGAGCCUGCGAGUUAUGGUGUGUGGCGAGGUUAACCCGUGUGGGGGAGCCGUAGCGAAAGCGAGUCUGAAGAGGGCGUUUGAGUCGCAUGCUGUAGACCCGAAGCGGAGUGAUCUAGGCAUGGGCAGGUUGAAGCGUGGGUAAGACUGCGUGGAGGACCGAACCCACCAGGGUUGAAAACCUGGGGGAUGACCUGUGUUUAGGGGUGAAAGGCCAAUCAAACUCCGUGAUAGCUGGUUCUCCCCGAAAUGCAUUUAGGUGCAGCGUUGCGUGUUUCUUGCCGGAGGUAGAGCACUGGAUGGCUGAUGGGCCUUACCGGGUUACUGACGUCAGCCAAACUCCGAAUGCCGGUAAGUGAGAGCGUAGCAGUGAGACUGCGGGGGAUAAGCUCCGUAGUCGAGAGGGAAACAGCCCAGAUCACCGACUAAGGCCCCUAAGCGUGUGCUAAGUGGGAAAGGAUGUGGAGUCGCAGUGACAACCAGGAGGUUGGCUUAGAAGCAGCCAUCCUUGAAAGAGUGCGUAAUAGCUCACUGGUCAAGUGAUUCCGCGCCGAUAAUGUAGCGGGGCUCAAGUACACCGCCGAAGUCGUGGCACUCACACAUUUAGCCUGGCAGGGUUUCCUGUCUGGGUGUGUGGGUGGGUAGGGGAGCGUCGUGCAGCCGGUGAAGCAGCGGAGUGAUCCAGUUGUGGAGGCUGUGCGAGUGAGAAUGCAGGCAUGAGUAGCGAAUCAGAAGUGAGAAACUUCUGCGCCGGAUGACCAAGGGUUCCUGGGGCAGGUUAAUCCGCCCAGGGUAAGUCGGGACCUAAGGCGAGGCCGACAGGCGUAGUCGAUGGACAACGGGUUGAUAUUCCCGUACCCGCUAUGAUGCGCCAGUACUGAAUCCAGUGAUACUAAGGGUCCUUAACCCGGCUGUUCCUUCGGGGACGGUGUCAGGGUGAACGCCUGGCCUGAUCUGGUAGUAGGUAAGCGAUGGGGUGACGCAGGAAGGUAGCCCAGCCCAGGCGGUGGUUGUCCUGGGGUAAGCAU